Molecule: small RNA, 118 nt
Filed under: Pseudomonas helmanticensis
Lineage: Bacteria; Pseudomonadati; Pseudomonadota; Gammaproteobacteria; Pseudomonadales; Pseudomonadaceae
Source: RNAcentral
AAGCUUUUAUUUUGGGUAUUGGUUUAGCCACUAGCGCGCCUGAUACCCUACACGGCGCCCAUGAAAACGGGUCGCCACCUGAGAAAUCUCAACCCCCGGUCGGCCUCCCGACCGGGGG